CUAGCCAAAAAUAAAAGAGAAGAAAAAGGUUUAGACUUUUCAGUGCAAACUCAUAUUAAAAAGCAAUUACAGUAAUGACCGAGUCUUUAGUUUAAUGGAAGUAAGUUUUAUAAUCUCCCAAGGGCUUAUUCUCUACAUUUUAGAUAGUACAGUAAAAGGGAACCAACCAGCUACUCCUUAGGCUUUGUAUUUCCAAAAGCACAUAUCGCCUUCACCCAGCAUUUGCACUUGCAACGUUCUUCACUGGAAGAACUCCAUUCAUAUUGCAUAGAUACUCAAAGGAAUGCUUCGAAGUAGAUGUUUUUGGGAAGUAUACAUUAGAUAUUGGCAAUCUAAACAACUACCAUACAACAAGAUUCACUCGUCAAAACUUUCCAUCAUAUAAAAUAUUUGUUUUCUCAAAACCAUCAGCGGUUAGACUUACCCUCGUCACAGGAAGCUUCAUCAAGCAUGUCAAGAAAUCCUUUU
This 468-nucleotide long non-coding RNA is filed under the name Populus trichocarpa (black cottonwood). Its description in RNAcentral is "long non-coding RNA (PTRI_LNC004850)". The record is from RNAcentral. Lineage: Eukaryota; Viridiplantae; Streptophyta; Magnoliopsida; Malpighiales; Salicaceae.